UCCGGUUUGUCACCGGCAGUCUCCUAUGAGUCCCCGUCUUUCACGCUGGCAACAUAGGACAGGGGUUGUGCUCGUUGCGGGACUUAACCCAACAUCUCACGACACGAGCUGACGACAGCCAUGCACCACCUGUACACCGGUAUCAAAGAGACCCCCAUCUCUGGAGGCUUCCGGCGUAUGUCAAACCCAGGUAAGGUUCUUCGCGUUGCAUCGAAUUAAUCCGCAUGCUCCGCCGCUUGUGCGGGCCCCCGCCAAUUCCUUUGAGUUUCAGCCUUGCGGCCGUACUCCCCAGGCGGGGCACUUAGCGCGUUAGCUACGGCACCGAAGGGGUCGCUCCCCCCAGCGCCUAGUGCCCAUCGUUUACAGCGUGGACUAC
RNAcentral lists this unclassified non-coding RNA (376 nucleotides) under uncultured Actinomycetes bacterium. Its description in RNAcentral is "uncultured actinobacterium contains 16S-23S intergenic spacer region". The record is from RNAcentral. Lineage: Bacteria; Bacillati; Actinomycetota; Actinomycetes.